This 301-nucleotide ribosomal RNA is filed under the name uncultured bacterium. RNAcentral's name for it is "partial 16S ribosomal RNA". It matches the Rfam family "Bacterial small subunit ribosomal RNA", at positions 509 to 807 of the family's 1533-position model. The record is from RNAcentral.
CAGUAGCCACGGUAAUACGAAGGGGGCUAGCGUUGUUCGGAAUUACUGGGCCUAAAGCGCACGUAGGCGGACAUUUAAGUCAGGGGUGAAAUCCCGGGGCUCAACCCCGGAACUGCCUUUGAUACUGGGUGUCUAGAGUAUGGAAGAGGUGAGUGGAAUUCCGAGUGUAGAGGUGAAAUUCGUAGAUAUUCGGAGGAACACCAGUGGCGAAGGCGGCUCACUGGUCCAUUACUGACGCUGAGGUGCGAAAGCGUGGGGAGCAAACAGGAUUAGAUACCCCUGUAGUCCCUGUCUCUUAUAC